Molecule: long non-coding RNA, 654 nt
Organism: Setaria italica (foxtail millet)
Lineage: Eukaryota; Viridiplantae; Streptophyta; Magnoliopsida; Poales; Poaceae
Exons: 2
Source: RefSeq, a predicted model, not a curated record
GUCCCUUGAUUUCUGCGGUGAUGACGCUGAUCUGAUGCGUGGCAUGGACCAGUCGCGAGAUGCAGCAUCGGUUCUACAUGCAUGCAUGGUAGCAAGAAAUUGACCCGGUACAGUUGUAGAAAGAAAGUCUUGACCCGGUCGGUUGAGUAUUCGUCACUGAGUAGGCAUUCCAUGCUUGUUAUUUCCUUGUUGGCCGUAUGCUGAAACUUACAAGAUUCUAUUUCAGAAAAACUUGCACCGAAAGUAUCCCCACCAGCGCACAAAUCGUCGAAUUUUAGGGACAACAAUCUGGUGGCUAGCGGAUAGUUACAGAAGCUUCAACAAAGUCGGCGAGCCGCCUUCGCCUCCUUGGGAAGGCGCGCAGCAGCGGCUAUCCUGCAAAUCUUCCAGGUUUUGCAGAACUGGAUGAUCGAGAUAAUGAGUGCGCAGCCCUGGAGCGCAUAAUAAUUGAUGCAAGUGCAGAGCCAAUUAUGCUAUUAUAUGCGUGUUUGAAAGAUAUUACAAAUAACUUCUCUGUAGAGAUUGGUAGAGGUGGGUUUGGAGUGGUUUAUAUGGUAUGGAUAUUUAUUUUUUUGAUGGCUGUGCGAAGUUUUUCUUCAAAUAUUUGACUGCAUGGAACUAAAUUAAUGUCGCAACAUAAUGAUAUAUUGUGUA